AGUUUGAUCCUGGCUCAGAGUGAACGCUGGCGGCAGGCCUAACACAUGCAAGUCGAACGGCAGCACAGAGGAGCUUGCUCCUCGGGUGGCGAGUGGCGGACGGGUGAGGAAUACAUCGGAAUCUGCCUAUUUGUGGGGGAUAACGUAGGGAAACUUACGCUAAUACCGCAUACGACCUACGGGUGAAAGCGGAGGACCUUCGGGCUUCGCGCAGAUAGAUGAGCCGAUGUCGGAUUAGCUAGUUGGCGGGGUAAAGGCCCACCAAGGCGACGAUCCGUAGCUGGUCUGAGAGGAUGAUCAGCCACACUGGAACUGAGACACGGUCCAGACUCCUACGGGAGGCAGCAGUGGGGAAUAUUGGACAAUGGGCGCAAGCCUGAUCCAGCCAUGCCGCGUGGGUGAAGAGGGCCUUCGGGUUGUAAAGCCCUUUUGUUGGGAAAGAAAAGCAGUCGGUUAAUACCCGAUUGUUCUGACGGUACCCAAAGAAUAAGCACCGGCUAACUUCGUG
This 508-nucleotide ribosomal RNA is filed under the name uncultured Lysobacteraceae bacterium. Its description in RNAcentral is "bacterial SSU rRNA". It matches the Rfam family "Bacterial small subunit ribosomal RNA", at positions 10 to 507 of the family's 1533-position model. The record is from RNAcentral. Lineage: Bacteria; Pseudomonadati; Pseudomonadota; Gammaproteobacteria; Lysobacterales; Lysobacteraceae.